GAUGAACGCUGGCGGCGUGCCUAAUACAUGCAAGUCGAGCGAACAGACGAGGAGCUUGCUCCUCUGACGUUAGCGGCGGACGGGUGAGGAACACGUGGAUAACCUAUCUAUAAGACUGGGAUAACUUCGGGAAACCGGAGCUAAUACCGGAUAAUAUAUUGAACCGCAUGGUUCAAUAGUGAAAGACGGUUUUGCUGUCACUUAUAGAUGGAUCCGCGUCGCAUUAGCUAGUUGGUAAGGUAACGGCUUACCAAGGCAACGAUGCGUAGCCGACCUGAGAGGGUGAUCGGCCACACUGGAACUGAGACACGGUCCAGACUCCUACGGGAGGCAGCAGUAGGGAAUCUUCCGCAAUGGGCGAAAGCCUGACGGAGCAACGCCGCGUGAGUGAUGAAGGUCUUCGGAUCGUAAAACUCUGUUAUUAGGGAAGAACAAAUGUGUAAGUAACUAUGCACGUCUUGACGGUACCUAAUCUGAAAGCCACGGCUAACUACGUG
Molecule: ribosomal RNA, 497 nt
Filed under: uncultured bacterium
Lineage: Bacteria
Description: partial 16S ribosomal RNA
Rfam family: Bacterial small subunit ribosomal RNA
Source: RNAcentral